This 713-nucleotide ribosomal RNA is filed under the name uncultured Serratia sp. RNAcentral describes it as "bacterial SSU rRNA". It matches the Rfam family "Bacterial small subunit ribosomal RNA", at positions 768 to 1481 of the family's 1533-position model. The record is from RNAcentral. Lineage: Bacteria; Pseudomonadati; Pseudomonadota; Gammaproteobacteria; Enterobacterales; Yersiniaceae.
GCAAACGGGAUUAGAUACCCUGGUAGUCCACGCUGUAAACGAUGUCGAUUUGGAGGUUGUGCCCUUGAGGCGUGGCUUCCGGAGCUAACGCGUUAAAUCGACCGCCUGGGGAGUACGGCCGCAAGGUUAAAACUCAAAUGAAUUGACGGGGGCCCGCACAAGCGGUGGAGCAUGUGGUUUAAUUCGAUGCAACGCGAAGAACCUUACCUACUCUUGACAUCCAGAGAACUUUCCAGAGAUGGAUUGGUGCCUUCGGGAACUCUGAGACAGGUGCUGCAUGGCUGUCGUCAGCUCGUGUUGUGAAAUGUUGGGUUAAGUCCCGCAACGAGCGCAACCCUUAUCCUUUGUUGCCAGCGGUUCGGCCGGGAACUCAAAGGAGACUGCCAGUGAUAAACUGGAGGAAGGUGGGGAUGACGUCAAGUCAUCAUGGCCCUUACGAGUAGGGCUACACACGUGCUACAAUGGCAUAUACAAAGAGAAGCGACCUCGCGAGAGCAAGCGGACCUCAUAAAGUAUGUCGUAGUCCGGAUUGGAGUCUGCAACUCGACUCCAUGAAGUCGGAAUCGCUAGUAAUCGUAGAUCAGAAUGCUACGGUGAAUACGUCCCCGGGCCUUGUACACACCGCCCGUCACACCAUGGGAGUGGGUUGCAAAAGAAGUAGGUAGCUUAACCUUCGGGAGGGCGCUUACCACUUUGUGAUUCAUGACUGGGGU